UUUUUUUUUUUUUUUUUUUUUUUUUUUUUUUAAUAUUGCGAGUUAUUGCUUUGGCAGGUAGGAACAGCUUCCUGCA
RNAcentral lists this non-coding RNA (76 nucleotides) under Prorocentrum micans. The record is from RNAcentral. Lineage: Eukaryota; Dinophyceae; Prorocentrales; Prorocentraceae.